UCGCUCUUCAACGAGGAAUCCCUAGUAAGCGUGAGUCAUCAGCUCACGUUGAUUACGUCCCUGCCCUUUGUACACACCGCCCGUCGCUACUACCGAUUGAAUGGCUUAGUGAGACUCUCGGAUCGGGUAUUUGGAACCGGCAACGGUCCCUUUCAUCUGAGAAGUUUAUCAAACUUGGUCAUUUAGAGGAAGUAAAAGUCGUAACAAGGUUUCCGUAGGUGAACCUGCGGAAGGAUCAUUAGAAAUUUUUAUGUAUUCAAAAAUUUUUCCAAUCUUUUUAUUUAUUUAUUUAUAUUAUAUAUGAUAAUCAUGAGACAACUUUCAACAACGGAUCUCUUGGCUCUUGCAUCGAUGAAGAACGCAGCGAAAUGCGAUAAGUAAUGUGAAUUGCAGAAUUCCGUGAAUCAUCAAAUCUUUGAACGCAAAUUGCACUCUUUGGUAUUCCGAAGAGUAUGCUUGUUUGAGGGUUGUUCCAAUAAAAUCGUUUUUUUUUAAAAAACGGAUCUGAGUUUUUCAAGGUUUUUAUGAUUUUGAUAACUUUAAAUUUAUCUUAACGAUAUCUUUGGUAUGAUAUUGGAAAUGGUUAUAUUCUUACUUCUUGUGAGUUUCAUUAACAAUCGAUUAUCUGUCGUUACGUCGUAUCAUUGGUCUAAUCCUUUCGAUUGGGUCACAUGAUACAAAAUUUCUUUCAACACCUCAAGUCAAGUAAGAAUACCCGCUGAACUUAAGCAUAUCAAUAAGCGGAGGAAAAGAAACUAACAAGGAUUCCCUUAGUAACGGCGAGUGAAGUGGGAAGAGCUCAAUUUAAAUCUCCGAGGUUUCUUGGCGAGUUGUAAUUGGAGAGGGUGUUUGACAUCGGAUUAAUUUAAUCC
RNAcentral lists this ribosomal RNA (872 nucleotides) under uncultured Glomus. RNAcentral describes it as "eukaryotic LSU rRNA". The stretch from base 1 to 241 matches the Rfam family "Eukaryotic small subunit ribosomal RNA", at positions 1593 to 1831 of the family's 1831-position model. Lineage: Eukaryota; Fungi; Glomeromycota; Glomeromycetes; Glomerales; Glomeraceae. The record is from RNAcentral.